GAUGAACGCUGGCGGCGUGCCUAAUACAUGCAAGUCGAGCGAACAGACGAGGAGCUUGCUCCUCUGACGUUAGCGGCGGACGGGUGAGUAACACGUGGCUAACCUACCUAUAAGACUGGGAUCACUUCGGGAACCCUGAGCUAAUACCGGAUAAUAUAUUGAACCGCAUGGUUCAAUAGUGAAAGACGGUUUUGCUGUCCCUUAUAGAUGGAUCCGCGGCGCAUUAGCUAGUUGGUAAGGUAACGGCUUACCAAGGCGACGAUGCGUAGCCGACCUGAGAGGGUGAUCGGCCACACUGGAACUGAGACACGGUCCAGACUCCUACGGGAGGCAGCAGUAGGGAAUCUUCCGCAAUGGGCGAAAGCCUGACGGAGCAACGCCGCGUGUGUGAUGAAGGUCUUCGGAUCGUAAAACUCUGUUAUUAGGGAAGAACAAAUGUGUAAGUAACUAUGCACGUCUUGACGGUACCUAAUCAGAAAGCCACGGCUAACUACGUG
RNAcentral lists this ribosomal RNA (497 nucleotides) under uncultured bacterium. Its description in RNAcentral is "partial 16S ribosomal RNA". It matches the Rfam family "Bacterial small subunit ribosomal RNA", at positions 28 to 507 of the family's 1533-position model. The record is from RNAcentral.